CAAAAGCUUAUAUCUUGCUGCAAUCUCAUCAUGAAUUGAUAAGAUCCUACUGGUGUUCUAAUAUUUAUAUGAAGUUAAUAUACAAAACAUUAAGAUAGAAAAUCUAUUACAUUUUGUUUCAAUUUGGUUUGAUAGAGUAGUAAAGCCUCCCUCAAGAUCAGAAUGGUGUGGAUUCCAGUGAUUGUGAUGGUUCUGUUUGUUUCUUACACCAGCAUAAUUCAAUGCAUAGAGAGCUCUCUCAUUAUCUUUGUUCUUUUAAUGCUUAGUUUAUGAAUUGAUUUUCUUGGUGUAAAUUCACCUUAGCAAUGAUUUUGAGAGAUAAAAUUGUGGCUUAUAGUUUGGUGCUUCUAAUAUGAAUGUGUAGAUUCUAAACUAUAGAGGGCCUGUUUUUGGUUUUUCACUUAAACUUCAAUAUCUGUAUGUUUGCAGGCUGAGGAUACAACAGAGGAUUAAAAGCGCAGAGCUCAGGAUGUUAACCAAGGAGCAAGAAAAUGAACUUCCGAAUUUUACACCAUUCAUUCCAUUGAUGUCUCCCUUGUUGUAGUGAAGUUGAUCCCAUAGUAGCAUCCUUCUCCGCAGGAGCAGUUGGACUGAUCUCAGCACUGAUGAUGGUUGAAAUAAUAAGCAAAACACUGCAGGAGCAUCAGAGAUGUAAAUAUUGUCUUGGAACUGCUUAUGGCUCAUCUUCUGAUGCAAUGACUAUAAUCCAACAAAGAUCUCCUGUUGUUAAGGUACAUUAGAGCGUUUUACUGUACAUUAAAACUGUUUUGCUUUCCUGUAGUAGUGCUCUACUUUUGAAUGUUUUGAGGGGAUCACAUUAGUUCUAUCAUUAAAAUGAUAAUUCUAAGCAGGGGAUGGUGAUUGAAUUUGCUAAGAAUUCAAUUGAUUAUGUUACUGCCAGCGCCCAGCGGAAAGAAGCAUGUUAUUGUGUUUUCAAGCUUAAACUUUCAGGGGUGGCAGAGAAUUAAUGUACCUCCUUUGUGCUCUAUAACUUUACAUGACUUCUUCUGUUAGUAAACAUGCAAGCAUUCUUUUUUAAUAUAAGUCGAUACUUACUUGCAAAGAGUUACAUUCUUUUGUAAUGUGUCAAAUGACAAAUUUUUCAGUUAUUGAUUUUAGCUUACGAUUGUGAUCA
This is a long non-coding RNA of Rosa rugosa (rugosa rose), 1135 nucleotides long. RefSeq lists it as uncharacterized. The transcript is spliced from 3 exons. The record is from RefSeq and is a predicted model, not a curated record. Lineage: Eukaryota; Viridiplantae; Streptophyta; Magnoliopsida; Rosales; Rosaceae.